RNAcentral lists this ribosomal RNA (522 nucleotides) under uncultured bacterium. RNAcentral describes it as "bacterial SSU rRNA". It matches the Rfam family "Bacterial small subunit ribosomal RNA", at positions 26 to 518 of the family's 1533-position model. The record is from RNAcentral.
CUAGGACGAACGCUGGCGGCGUGCCUAAUACAUGCAAGUCGAACGGUCUUUCUAUGGAAGCUUGCUUCCACUGAGAAGAUAGUGGCGAACGGGUGAGUAACACGUGGGUAACCUGCCCAUAAGAGGGGGGAUAACAUCCGGAAACGGGUGCUAAUACCGCAUAGUUUCUUGAUCGCAUGAUCGGGAAAGGAAAGACGGCCUUUGUGCUGUCGCUUAUGGAUGGACCCGCGGCGUAUUAGUUAGUUGGUGAGGUAACGGCUCACCAAGACGAUGAUACGUAGCCGACCUGAGAGGGUGAUCGGCCACAUUGGGACUGAGACACGGCCCAAACUCCUACGGGAGGCAGCAGUAGGGAAUCUUCCGCAAUGGACGAAAGUCUGACGGAGCAACGCCGCGUGAGUGAAGAAAGGGUUUUCGGAUCGUAAAACUCUGUUGUCAGAGAAGAACAAGUUGGAGAGUAACUGCUCCAGCCUUGACGGUAUCUGACCAGAAAGCCACGGCUAACUACGUGCCAGCCGCCGC